UAUAUAUCCACCAACCAAAAAGACCGUUCUGCCCCUCACCAACUCAACAUCCCAGCUGGAGUAUCGGUACCAGCCCGAUGUCGUACCGGUACUCAGCAUCAAUUAUCGCAACCCAAGAGCAGUAGUUCGAAAAAUACAUUGGAGUACCGAUACUCCCCUGCAUGGUACCGAUACUCAAUACUGAAACCUGCACUUUGCAGACUUCAAUAUCAAACUCUGCUCUCGCGUCUCACUAAUCCGUUUUGCGUCCAUUUCGUACCAAAACGACUCCGACUUGUCCCGACACUCUCUAGAUGUGUCGCCAAGCCUCAGAUGCUA
Molecule: long non-coding RNA, 318 nt
Filed under: Ananas comosus (pineapple)
Lineage: Eukaryota; Viridiplantae; Streptophyta; Magnoliopsida; Poales; Bromeliaceae
Description: long non-coding RNA (ACOM_LNC036990)
Source: RNAcentral